AAUAAACUGCACACACUUAAAAUAUACCAUGUGAUAUAUGUGUGUGUGUAUGUGUGUGUGUAUAUAUAUACAUACAUAUAUACACACACACACAUAUAUAACUGUAAA
Molecule: microRNA precursor, 108 nt
Filed under: Chlorocebus sabaeus (green monkey)
Lineage: Eukaryota; Metazoa; Chordata; Mammalia; Primates; Cercopithecidae
Description: miRNA (ENSCSAG00000027140.1)
Source: RNAcentral